This 72-nucleotide transfer RNA is filed under the name Mucilaginibacter sp. PAMC 26640. RNAcentral's name for it is "tRNA-Met". It matches the Rfam family "tRNA". Rfam says of the family: Transfer RNA (tRNA) molecules are approximately 80 nucleotides in length. Their secondary structure includes four short double-helical elements and three loops (D, anti-codon, and T loops). Lineage: Bacteria; Pseudomonadati; Bacteroidota; Sphingobacteriia; Sphingobacteriales; Sphingobacteriaceae. The record is from RNAcentral.
GCCUCAUGGUAAGUUGGUUACCGCAAAAGACUCAUAAUCUUUUGGUCCCUGGUUCGAGCCCAGGUGGGCGCA